UUUAUAUGAGAGUUUGAUCCUGGCUCAGGACGAACGCUGGCGGCGUGCCUAAUACAUGCAAGU
RNAcentral lists this ribosomal RNA (63 nucleotides) under Enterococcus gilvus. RNAcentral describes it as "partial 16S ribosomal RNA". It matches the Rfam family "Bacterial small subunit ribosomal RNA", at positions 1 to 62 of the family's 1533-position model. Lineage: Bacteria; Bacillati; Bacillota; Bacilli; Lactobacillales; Enterococcaceae. The record is from RNAcentral.